AAAAAAACUCUUUUCACGAUCUUUUGGUGUGGGAUAUGAAGUUGACUUUUCCUUAUGAAUUGAAAUUUUCUGAGCCCAACUGGAGCGCUUAUAUAUCAAAUCUGAAGCCUUUGGGGUUAAAUAUUAUCUUAAACGCUGAACACUUUUCUUCUUCUAUAGCAC
Zophobas morio is the source of this 162-nucleotide long non-coding RNA. RefSeq lists it as uncharacterized. The record is from RefSeq and is a predicted model, not a curated record. The transcript is spliced from 3 exons. NCBI's taxonomy places the organism in Eukaryota, Metazoa, Arthropoda, Insecta, Coleoptera, Tenebrionidae.